GUGAGGAAUUUUCCGCAAUGGGCGAAAGCCUGACGGAGCAAUGCCGCGUGAAGGAUGAAGGCCUAUGGGUUGUAAACUUCUUUUCUCAGAAAAGAAUUAUGACGGUAUCUGAGGAAUAAGCAUCGGCUAACUCUGUGCCAGCAGCCGCGGUAAGACAGAGGAUGCAAGCGUUAUCCGGAAUGAUUGGGCGUAAAGCGUCUGUAGGUUGUUUAAAAAGUAUUCUGUCAAAGAUUAGGGCUUAAACCUAGAUAGGCAGAAUAAACUUUUAAGCUAGAGUUUGGUAGAGGCAGAGGGAAUGCCCGGUGGAGCGGUGAAAUGCGUAGAUAUCGGGAGGAACACCAAAGGCGAAGGCACUCUGCUGGGCCAAUACUAACACUGAGAGACGAAAGCGAGGGGAGCAAAUGGGAUUAGAUACCCUAGUAGUCC
This 426-nucleotide ribosomal RNA is filed under the name uncultured bacterium. RNAcentral describes it as "partial 16S ribosomal RNA". It matches the Rfam family "Bacterial small subunit ribosomal RNA", at positions 354 to 796 of the family's 1533-position model. The record is from RNAcentral.